This 496-nucleotide ribosomal RNA is filed under the name uncultured bacterium. Its description in RNAcentral is "partial 16S ribosomal RNA". It matches the Rfam family "Bacterial small subunit ribosomal RNA", at positions 29 to 507 of the family's 1533-position model. The record is from RNAcentral.
AUGAACGCUGGCGGCGUGCCUCAUACAUGCAAGUCGAGCGAACAGAUGAGGAGCUUGCUCCUCUGACGUUAGCGGCGGACGGGUGAGUAACACGUGGAUAACCUACCUAUAAGACUGGGAUAACUUCGGGAAACCGGAGCUAAUACCGGAUAAUAUAUUGAACCGCAUGGUUCAAUAGUGAAAGACGGUUUUGCUGUCACUUAUAGAUGGAUCCGCGCCGCAUUAGCUAGUUGGUAAGGUAACGGCUUACCAAGGCAACGAUGCGUAGCCGACCUGAGAGGGUGACCGGCCACACUGGAACUGAGACACGGUCCAGACUCCUACGGGAGGCAGCAGUAGGGAAUCUUCCGCAAUGGGCGAAAGCCUGACGGAGCAACGCCGCGUGAGUGAUGAAGGUCUUCGGAUCGUAAAACUCUGUUAUUAGGGAAGAACAAAUGUGUAAGUAACUAUGCACGUCUUGACGGUACCUAAUCAGAAAGCCACGGCUAACUACGUG